This 2895-nucleotide ribosomal RNA is filed under the name Clostridioides difficile. Its description in RNAcentral is "bacterial LSU rRNA". It matches the Rfam family "Bacterial large subunit ribosomal RNA". The record is from RNAcentral. Lineage: Bacteria; Bacillati; Bacillota; Clostridia; Peptostreptococcales; Peptostreptococcaceae.
UCAAGUUAUUAAGGGUGCAGGGCGGAUGCCUUGGCACUAGGAGCCGAUGAAGGACGUGAUAAGCUGCGAUAAGCUUCGGGGAGUUGCACGUAAACUUUGAUCCGAAGAUUUCCGAAUGAGGAAACUCACUUAGAGUAAUGUCUAAGUAUCAUUAAGUGAAUACAUAGCUUAAUGAGGGGAACUCAGGGAACUGAAACAUCUAAGUACCUGAAGGAAGAGAAAGAAAUUCGAUUCCGUAAGUAGCGGCGAGCGAACGCGGAUUAGCCCAAACCAAUAAAGUUUUCUUUAUUGGGGUUGCGGACAUAUCAUAACGGAGAGGUAUCGUAAUUGAAGAGGUUUGGAAAGACCCACCACAGAAGGUAAUAGUCCUGUAUGUUAAACGAGAAGACUUUAGAUAUGAUCCAGAGUACCACGGGACACGUGAAACCCUGUGGGAAGCAGGAGGGACCACCCUCCAAGGCUAAAUACUACCUAGUGACCGAUAGCGUAUAGUACCGUGAGGGAAAGGUGAAAAGAACCCCGGGAGGGGAGUGAAAUAGAACCUGAAACCCUGCACUUACAAGCUGUGGAAGCACAUUUCUUGUGUGACCGCGUACUUUUUGUAGAACGGGCCAACGAGUUACGUUAAGUAGCAAGGUUAAGCACUUAAGGUGCGGAGCCGUAGCGAAAGCGAGUUUUAACUGAGCGUUCAGUUACUUGACGUAGACCCGAAACCGGGCGACCUACCCAUGAGCAGGAUGAAGCGAAAGUAAAAUUUCGUGGAGGUCCGAACCCACGAGCGUUGAAAAGCUCGGGGAUGACUUGUGGGUAGCGGUGAAAUUCCAAUCGAGCCCGGAGAUAGCUGGUUCUCCCCGAAAUAGCUUUAGGGCUAGCCUCAAGGUGAGAGAUACGGAGGUAGAGCACUGAAUGUCCUAGGGGGUAUUGCACCUACCGAAGACUAUCAAACUCCGAAUGCCGUCAUCUUAUACUUGGGAGUCAGACUGUGGGUGAUAAGAUUCAUAGUCGAAAGGGCAACAGCCCAGAUCGUCAGCUAAGGUCCCUAAAUGUAAGUUAAGUGGUAAAGGAUGUGGGAUUGCACAGACAACCAGGAUGUUGGCUUAGAAGCAGCCACUCAUUCAAAGAGUGCGUAAUAGCUCACUGGUCGAGUGAUCCUGCGCCGAAGAUUUCCGGGGCUAAAACUUACUACCGAAGCUACGGCAUCAUUAUGAUGGGUAGGGGAGCUUCCCAUACGGGUUGAAGCAUGACCGUAAGGACAUGUGGACAGUAUGGGAGUGAGAAUGUUGGCAUGAGUAGCGAGAUGUGGGUGAGAAUCCCACAGGCCGUAAACCCAAGGUUUCCAGGGGAAGGUUCGUCCGCCCUGGGUUAGUCGGGACCUAAGCUGAGGCCGAAAGGCGUAGGUGAUGGACAACAGGUUGAUAUUCCUGUACUACCGAUAACCGUUUGAGAGAAGGGAUGACACAGUAGGAUAAGCUAAGCACACUGUUGGUUAUGUGUGCCCAAGCAUUGAGGCAGUCAAAGUAGGCAAAUCCGCUUUGAUAAUGCUGGGAUGUGAUGGGGAGCGAAAUUUAGUAGCGAAGUAGCUGAUUUCACACUGUCAAGAAAAGUCUCUAUCGAGGUUAAAGGUACCCGUACCGCAAACCGACACAGGUGGGUGAGGAGAGUAUCCUAAGGCCAGCGAGAGAACUGUUGUUAAGGAACUCGGCAAAAUGACCCCGUAACUUAGGGAUAAGGGGUGCCACCAUCAGGUGGCCGCAGAGAAUAGGCCCAAGCGACUGUUUACCAAAAACAUAGGUUUCUGCUAAGUCGCAAGACGAUGUAUAGGAGCUGACGCCUGCCCGGUGCUGGAAGGUUAAGGGAAUCUGUUAGAGCAAUCGAAGCAGUGAACUUAAGCCCCAGUAAACGGCGGCCGUAACUAUAACGGUCCUAAGGUAGCGAAAUUCCUUGUCGGGUAAGUUCCGACCCGCACGAAAGGCGUAACGAUUUGGGCACUGUCUCAACAACAGACUCGGUGAAAUUGUAAUUCCGGUGAAGAUGCCGGAUACCUGCGACAGGACGGAAAGACCCCAUGGAGCUUUACUGUAGCUUGACAUUGGGUCUUGGUACUACAUGUACAGGAUAGGUGGGAGGCUUUGAAACCAGGACGCCAGUUUUGGCGGAGCCAUCCUUGGGAUACCACCCUUGUAGUACUGGGACUCUAACCAUAGGCCAUGAAUCUGGUCUUGGGACACUGUCAGGUGGGCAGUUUGACUGGGGCGGUCGCCUCCCAAAAGGUAACGGAGGCGCUCAAAGGUUCUCUCAGUACGGUCGGAAAUCGUACGUAGAGUGUAAAGGCAAAAGAGAGCUUGAUUGCAAGACAUACAGGUCGAGCAAGGAUGAAAAUCGGACUUAGUGAUCCGGUGGUUCUGCGUGGAAGGGCCAUCGCUCAACGGAUAAAAGCUACCCUGGGGAUAACAGGCUUAUCUCCCCCAAGAGUCCACAUCGACGGGGAGGUUUGGCACCUCGAUGUCGGCUCAUCACAUCCUGGGGCUGUAGUAGGUCCCAAGGGUUGGGCUGUUCGCCCAUUAAAGUGGUACGCGAGCUGGGUUCAGAACGUCGUGAGACAGUUCGGUCCCUAUCCGUCGCAGGCGUAGGAAAUUUGAGAAGACCUGUCCUUAGUACGAGAGGACCGGGAUGGACGUACCUCUGGUGUACCAGUUGUCCUGCCAAGGGCAUGGCUGGGUAGCUAUGUACGGAAUGGAUAAGCGCUGAAAGCAUCUAAGCGCGAAGCCAACUUCAAGAUAAGAUUUCCCACCGCAAGGGUAAGACCCCAGAAAGACUAUCUGGUUGAUAGGUCGAAGGUGUAAGUGCAGCAAUGUAUUUAGCUUAUCGAUACUAAUAGGUCGAGGACUUGACCAA